Long non-coding RNA from Pristis pectinata (smalltooth sawfish), 1832 nucleotides. RefSeq lists it as uncharacterized. The transcript has 3 exons. The record is from RefSeq and is a predicted model, not a curated record. Lineage: Eukaryota; Metazoa; Chordata; Chondrichthyes; Rhinopristiformes; Pristidae.
GGCGCAUGCGCGGCCCUCUGGGUCCCAGCGAGGGUUGGACCUCGGGUAACGGGACGUCGGGGGCGAGGCGCUGGGGUCCCGGGGACAUCGCGGACUGAGGGGGUCUCGCCCUGCAUGCAGGAAGAGCAUCUACCACAGCUAAUCUCUGCUCUGUGCAAGUGCUCAGAAACCUGACUUCAACCCGCUGAUUGUCUUCUCAACCACUUGAUGCAAGCAAGAGCGAAAUGCUAUAGAGGCUGGAAAUGAGAAAUACAAACCAGAGAUACUCAGCAGGGCAGGCACCACCUGUGGUGCUGCCUAACCCACCGAGUAUCUCUGGCAUUCUCAGUGCGUUGUUGUACAUUAGGGGAGGAAGAAUGACAGGUCAAGGAGGGUCCAUCAAUGGAAGAGAAAUGAGGUCAGGACUGAGAACGUUUGUAUAUGGAGAGCAAUAAUGGCAGGUCAGGCGCUGCCGAUAAAUGAUGGAGCAAAGGGGACAGGUGAGAGUGUGUCUGGAAAUGCUGGCGGGCUGGGGAAAGUCUGGAAAUGGGGGGGAAUUUGUGACGGAUGUGUACACGUGAGAAAGAAACAGUGAGAAGUCAGGGACCACCACCUGCUUCAAGAACAGCUACUUCACUUCAACCAUUCAGUUCUUGGACCAACCGGCAAAACCUUAAUCACUGGAGUUGAGCAACACUAUGACCCCUUUGAUCAUUGACUAUUUUGUUUAUUGACGACAGCUCCACCUUCAAUACAAUAAUAACAAGCAAGCUUGUCACCAAACUCCAAGACCUAGGACUCAACACCUCCCUCUGUAACUAGAUCCUUGACUGUCUAACAAACAGACAAUCAGUGAGGAUAGGCAGCAGUACCUCCAGCAUGAUUAUUCUCAACACUGGUCCACCUCAAGGCUGCGUCCUCAGCCCUCUACUCUACUCCCUAUACACUCAUGACUGUGUGGCCAGAUUCUGCUCUAACUCCAUCUACAAGUUUGCAGAUGAUACCACCGUUGUAGGCCGUAUCUCAAAACAGUAAUGAGUCAGAGUACAGGAAGGAGAUAGAGAGCUUAGUGGAAUGGUGUCAUGACAACAACUUUUCCCUCAGUGUCAACAAAACUAAACAGCUGGUCAUUGACUUCAGAAAAGGGGGCGGUGUACAUGCACCUGUCUACAUCAAUGGUACUGAGGUCGAGAGGGUUGACGGCUUCAAGUUCCUGGGAGUGAACAUCACCAACAACCUGUCCUGGACAAACCACGUGGAUGCCAUGGCCGAGAAAGCUCACCAGCGCCUCUACUUCCUCAGGAGGCUAAAGAAAUUUGGUUUGUCUCCUUUGACUCUCACCAACUUUUACCGAUGCACCAUAGAAAGCAUCCUAUCUGGAUGUAUCACGGCUUGGUAUGCCAACUGCUCUACCCAAGACCGCAAAAAGCUGCAGAGAGUUGUGGACACAGCCCAUCAUGUCACGGACACCAGCCUCCCCUCCUUGGACACUGUCUUUACCUCUCGUUGUCUUGGUGUAGCAGCCAGCAUAAUCAAAGAUCCCACCCACCCGGGACAUUCUCUCUUCUCUACUCUUCCAUCGGGUAGGAGAUACAGGAGCCUGAGGGCAUGUACCACCAGACUUGGCAGCUUCUACCCCACAGUGAUAAGUUCCCUUAUACAAUGAGGUGGACUAUGACCUAUGACCUCACGAUCUACCUUGUUGUGACCUUGCACCUUACUGCACUGCACUUUCUCUGUAGCUGUGACACUUUACUCUGUACUGUUAUUGUUUUUACCUGUACUACAUCAAUGCAUUCUGUACUAACUCAAUGUAAUUGCACUGUGUAAUGAAUUGACCUGUAAGAUCAGUU